AGAGUUUGAUCCUGGCUCAGAUUGAACGCUGGCGGCAUGCCUUACACAUGCAAGUCGAGCGGCAGCGCGGGGGCAACCCUGGCGGCGAGCGGCGAACGGGUGAGUAAUACAUCGGAACGUGUCCUUUCGUGGGGGAUAACCAGUCGAAAGAUUGGCUAAUACCGCAUGAGAUCUCACGAUGAAAGCGAGGGACCGCAAGGCCUCGCGCGAUUGGAGCGGCCGAUGUCGGAUUAGCUAGUUGGCGGGGUAAAAGCCCACCAAGGCGACGAUCCGUAGCUGGUUUGAGAGAACGACCAGCCACACUGGGACUGAGACACGGCCCAGACUCCUACGGGAGGCAGCAGUGGGGAAUUUUGGACAAUGGGCGCAAGCCUGAUCCAGCCAUGCCGCGUGUGUGAAGAAGGCCUUCGGGUUGUAAAGCACUUUCGGCCGGAACGAAAUCGCGCGGGUUAAUAGUCCGCGUGGAUGACGGUACCGGAAGAAGAAGCACCGGCUAACUACGUGCCAGCAGCCGCGGUAAUAC
Molecule: ribosomal RNA, 523 nt
Filed under: uncultured bacterium
Lineage: Bacteria
Description: bacterial SSU rRNA
Rfam family: Bacterial small subunit ribosomal RNA
Source: RNAcentral